CUCUCAAACCAAUUUUAUUCAUAUUCUGCUCUAACAAAUAUAGUAGGAAGGCAACAGUUGUUUAAGUUUCUUAGUGUAUGGCACAGAUGAAAAGAAACAAACAGAUUUAGAAGCAGUCCAGCAUUUAAAUGCUGGUUUAACAAAAGAGGCACGUAUUAUUCUAUUUAGCAGUUUAUACCAGAUAUCAGAAGACAUUUUUUUUCCUUGCAAGCAACAGACUACAUUUAUUUGCAUUAAGUAAAAACAUAUUUUGAUCAAGAAAAUUACUUUUUUUUUCUGAUUUUCCUUUAUAUCACAAAUGUCAGGGUAAGGCAAAUCCUUAAUGAAUCAUAUGAUAAAAACCCUAUUCCCCAAGAAAAUAUAUUGAACAUAUUCUGCUAACUUUGUUAUUUUUCAAAGCAAAGCUGACAUGCACCACAUACAGAGAAAAGUCAUUUCAAAUCAAGUGCAUCAAGCAGAACUGUAUUAAUUCACAAAGAGGCUUUUCAGUAUUUCAUAGAAAGAUUUACAAUUAGCUGCAGUGACUAAUAUGUGACCCACUAUCACAGACAGUAUUUUGGAUGCCUCCUUUGUAAGCUUUUAUGAAAGAAGUCUUGUCCAUCAUCUGAAUAGUUACUAGCUGGAGGAAAAGCCCCUUUGUCUCUCUUACGACUACCUUUCUAAUUAGGACUACAGGUUUCCCUUGCUAUGGGAAAGUAGUGUUCCUAUGAAACCUAUCCUUAAGCUGAAAUGGUGUAAAGCAAAGAAACAGUUACCAUUAGUUUAUAUGGAAAUACUUUUGAGCCUUCCCAGACCCUUUUCUAAUACCAUAGUGCACAUCUUGCUAGUGGAUACACAAAAUAAAAUGAGAUGAAGUACAGAUGCUCACAGACACAGGUCAAAGCUAAUAGCUGCUUGAGGCUGAGAUGCUGAGUCUUGUAGUUCCCAGGGGAAGAGCUUGGCGGUGCCACUCCCCCUGCUUGCAGUUUGCCUAAAAGCGAAAACCCUCUUUGGGUUUCUUUAGGUUAAUGGUAGGAGGUACGAAUGUAGGUCUUUCAUAAAAGCAAAGUGGCAAAAUGCAAUUUCAAAAAGCAAGGAUACCUGUAUUAUGUUGAGAGUCUACUUUGAUCCUCCAUAUGCAAACCUGACUAAUCUGGGACUAGUCUUCCCCCCCCUUCUCCCUCCUGUAAAUGCCUUAUGCCACAUAGCCUGUCAGAAGUGUGGCUGGAAAUUGAAAUCCAGGAUUCCUUUGCAGGAGAAUUAAUCUGCCUUUCAAAUUUUCCAUUGACAGCCUAUUCAGUGACAGCACCAGCGAAAAAGAGGGUUUCUUGUGUUGAGGUGUCUUCCUUCAGAUCUGGCCAACAGCUAGAUUUUACUAUUGAAAUGGAAAGUAACCUCAUUGCUUGCUUUAAGGAUGAAAUCUGAAAAUCAAAUAGCAACCAAAAACAUAACAAGGCAAAAAUGAAAACAAUCUAAUCAUAAAAUAAAGUUUAGACAAAUCCAGCAGUGGAGCGAUGAUAUUUACUCCUCCCUCUCUUAGUUUUGUUCUCAGAUUCCUUCCCUUUUCUGGCAGUUUUCAGGCAGAGAAAUCCCUCCUAGCACUCCUACCCCACCCACAUUUAAAAUGAAUGAAUGAAAAUGGUUGUCAUGGAUGAGUAAGAGAACACCCCACCCACAAUAAUUCCAAUCUCCACUGGUCCUAACAGGGACAUUAAGUCUCUAUCAUCUUUGCCCGUUAAGAAGUCCCCAUCCCUCUUGUCUCCUUCAUGUUGUUUUCAACUGUAACUCAUUACUGAGCAUGAACAGUAACACAUGAGAGUCACAGGAAAACGUGCUCCCAGCAGAUUGCUCUUGUCAGGUCCUUCCCAGAAUGAUGGCAACUUUCAAUUAAGUCAUAAAGAUGAUAUGACAUAUAGAAACUAUCAGUAUUUGUAUGGCAUCAUUUCUUGGAUCACUUAAAAUGGGUCUUCUUGUUUUUCUAGAAAGCAAUGUCUAAUGGCAGUAGGGGACAUAUAAAUUUCUGUACCAAACUCUAGAAUAAUGGCAGAAGGAAAAAGGGCCAUGUUCCAAAAUCAUGAGGUCCCUUAAAAAUCAUUGCUGUUAGGUUGGUAAGCAGUUUUUUUUUUUUUUUAAAUAUAGGAUGUGAGAACAUAUUACAUAUGCAGAAAUAUAGCUUGCUAAUGAUUCCAAUAUACCAAAUAAGUCAUCCAGAGGGGCAACAAAUUCAGAAAGGCCAGAGCAAAAUUCACAGAUAAGGAAGUGAAUUUUCCAUAGAGGAAAGAGCAAAACUGAAGAACUCCAUGGAAUAUUUAGAAAUCAGAACUCCCCCCCUUUUUUUUUAGAAAUACUCAAUUUGAUCCAUUACUUUUCUCUCUCCACUAAAAAUAUAUAUAAAUAUAUAAAUAAUUUACAGUUCUAGAGACCUCAUAAGGAAGGUGGAUUUAAGAAGCUAUGCAAGAAACGAUAUCAGUUUCCCCUAGAAAAAAAAGACUGUUCUGAGAACCCAGGGAAGCUGUGGAAAGCAGGCAUUUUGCCUUGUGAGGGUCGCUGUUGAUGUUGUCUCUGGGACAGACAUUUGUGACAAGUUCUGACUUUCUCCUUGGCUCCUUAUCCCUUGGGCCCACCAUACCACAGGAGUCUUGACUUAAUGCUGCUGCUCCCCUUCAGAGCCAUAAUCAAGGGACCUCUGGGUGGAAGAGAGGAUGAGCCACCAAAGCAGUUUGGUAUUUGGCAUGAGCAAACCAGAUAUUUAAAAGCAAACCAGAACUGCAAGCAAGACCUCCAGUUGCCUAUAACUUCAAAUGAAAAUCUUUCUGUAGGCCAUCAAACCUUGGGUAAAGACAAGAGAUUCUUUUAUGAAAAGCAUAUAUAUAACGAGAGCUUUCAAGUAGAACUUUUAAUAUUCAUAGGCAUAUGUUUGGAUUCUAAAUGCAGCAGCCCCCUCUUUUAACUAAAACACCUCGAGAAGUGUCAUCCUUUACAACUGUGUUGUACAGAGUCACAUCUCUCUAGUGGACUAGAUGCCAAAGCACAGGAUAAGGAUCUCAGGAACCAGGUGAGCUCUGCUGGAGGUCGGGGUCAAAGAAUGCAUCUGUAGUCCUGGCUGUGAAGGAAAAGCCCCCAAUGGCUGCCAGGGCCUGCCUUCCUUGUAGUGCCUCUACGCUU
RNAcentral lists this long non-coding RNA (3144 nucleotides) under Canis lupus familiaris (dog). RNAcentral's name for it is "lncRNA (ENSCAFG00000057637.1, ENSCAFG00845021236.1)". The record is from RNAcentral. Lineage: Eukaryota; Metazoa; Chordata; Mammalia; Carnivora; Canidae.